CCAGAGGGCCGGGCGGCCGCGUCGCAUCUUUUGGAUGUGCCGAGGAAAGUCCGGGCUCCACGGAAACGACGGUGCCGGGUAAUGCCCGGCGGGGGUGACCCCAGGGAAAGUGCCACAGAGAGCAAACGGCCACGGCUUCGGCCCGGCCACGGUGAAAGGGUGCGGUAAGAGCGCACCGCGCGGCUGGUAACAGCAGCGGCAUGGCAAACCCCACCGGGAGCAAGACCGAAUAGGGACGGCACAUGCGCCUCGUUCCGGCGCGUCGUCCGGGUUGGUUGCUUGAGGGCGCGUGCAAACGUGCCCCUAGAGGAAUGGUCGCCUAUCCCCAUCGGGGUGGACAGAACCCGGCUUACAGGCCCUCUGGCAUU
This 368-nucleotide RNase P RNA is filed under the name Stakelama sediminis. RNAcentral describes it as "Sphingomonas sp. CJ70 Bacterial RNase P class A". It matches the Rfam family "Bacterial RNase P class A". From Rfam's summary of the family: Ribonuclease P (RNase P) is a ubiquitous endoribonuclease, found in archaea, bacteria and eukarya as well as chloroplasts and mitochondria. The record is from Rfam by way of RNAcentral. Lineage: Bacteria; Pseudomonadati; Pseudomonadota; Alphaproteobacteria; Sphingomonadales; Sphingomonadaceae.